UCUAUCAUGGCAGAAUAGUGCAAUGAAUUUAAAUUUCGUAUAUAAAAAUAAUUUUUUUUUUAGAA
RNAcentral lists this transfer RNA (65 nucleotides) under Hypsicera sp. ZJUH_2016019. RNAcentral's name for it is "tRNA-Leu". Lineage: Eukaryota; Metazoa; Arthropoda; Insecta; Hymenoptera; Ichneumonidae. The record is from RNAcentral.